RNAcentral lists this ribosomal RNA (829 nucleotides) under bacterium W13M54a. RNAcentral describes it as "bacterial SSU rRNA". It matches the Rfam family "Bacterial small subunit ribosomal RNA", at positions 73 to 913 of the family's 1533-position model. The record is from RNAcentral.
CCGGAGCUUGCUCUGGUGGAUUAGUGGCGAACGGGUGAGUAACACGUGAGUAACCUGCCCUUGACUCUGGAAUAAGCGUUGGAAACGACGUCUAAUACCGGAUACGAGCUUCCGCCGCAUGGUGAGGAGCUGGAAAGAAUUUCGGUCAAGGAUGGACUCGCGGCCUAUCAGGUAGUUGGUGAGGUAAUGGCUCACCAAGCCUACGACGGGUAGCCGGCCUGAGAGGGUGACCGGCCACACUGGAACUGAGACACGGUCCAGACUCCUACGGGAGGCAGCAGUGGGGAAUAUUGCACAAUGGGCGCAAGCCUGAUGCAGCAACGCCGCGUGAGGGACGACGGCCUUCGGGUUGUAAACCUCUUUUAGUAGGGAAGAAGCGAAAGUGACGGUACCUGCAGAAAAAGCACCGGCUAACUACGUGCCAGCAGCCGCGGUAAUACGUAGGGUGCAAGCGUUAUCCGGAAUUAUUGGGCGUAAAGAGCUCGUAGGCGGUUUGUCGCGUCUGCUGUGAAAACUGGGGGCUCAACCCCCAGCCUGCAGUGGGUACGGGCAGACUAGAGUGCGGUAGGGGAGAUUGGAAUUCCUGGUGUAGCGGUGGAAUGCGCAGAUAUCAGGAGGAACACCGAUGGCGAAGGCAGAUCUCUGGGCCGUAACUGACGCUGAGGAGCGAAAGCAUGGGGAGCGAACAGGAUUAGAUACCCUGGUAGUCCAUGCCGUAAACGUUGGGAACUAGAUGUAGGGGCCAUUCCACGGUUUCUGUGUCGCAGCUAACGCAUUAAGUUCCCCGCCUGGGGAGUACGGCCGCAAGGCUAAAACUCAAAGGAAUUGA